UCCGAUGAGGUCCACCGGAGAAGAAGACCAAAGUUAUGGAUCCGGCGGUGUGUUGGCACAUCUCCCAGCCACAGGAUCCAUUCAGAUUGUUUUAAUCUUAGGCGCUGGUUUUAAUUACCACGUGUGUGGCGCGCUGACUGGGUUCUACAAUGGAACGCACGGUUAUGUCCAUUGAUCUGCCACCUCAAUUAAUGAGGGAGAUCAAGUGGCUCACGUUUUUUUUGAUUUUUUUAUUUUUG
This 239-nucleotide long non-coding RNA is filed under the name Lathyrus oleraceus (garden pea). RNAcentral's name for it is "Pisum sativum (pea) long non-coding RNA (PSAT_LNC029101)". The record is from RNAcentral. Lineage: Eukaryota; Viridiplantae; Streptophyta; Magnoliopsida; Fabales; Fabaceae.